Cucumis sativus (cucumber) is the source of this 960-nucleotide RNA transcript. It is a transcript of the gene named UPF0161 protein At3g09310, with no coding region annotated. NCBI's taxonomy places the organism in Eukaryota, Viridiplantae, Streptophyta, Magnoliopsida, Cucurbitales, Cucurbitaceae. The record is from RefSeq and is a predicted model, not a curated record. The transcript is spliced from 5 exons.
CCAAUUAUAUCUAUGAUUCAGUUCCCAUUAGUAUUGUUUAUCGUAAAUUUCUUCUCCUUUUUUUUUAAAAAAAAUACAAACUUCAUUGGCGUUGGCAGUAACUGUUAGAGCAGAUUGACAUGGCGGUUCUUCCCACCACAAACUGCCACACAUCCCAAAACCUGAACCCAAUCUUCUUCGCCGGCCGCUGCCAUCAACGGCCCUGCUCUGCCGCCGGCUUCAGUAUUCGAUUUAAUUGCCGGAAGCUCCGUCGCUCGUUAAUCCUAAGCGAAACGCGCGCCACAUCGAACUCAAGCGCGAACAGCGACCAAGAUGGCGAAGUGGACAAUUUGGGGGUUAAAGCUGCACUAUCCAUGCUUAAAUUCUACAAACGAGAAAUCUCACCGCUAUUGCCAAAUAGUUGUCGCUAUUUACCCACAUGUAGUGAGUAUUCGAUGCAAGCUUACAAGAAAUACGGUGUUGCCAAGGGUACUAUCUUGACUGCUUGGCGUCUCUGUCGCUGCAAUCCCCUUGGUGGAUCUGGGUUUGAUCCUCCUCGGUGGUUUGAUGAAGAAAGAUUGCCAGAACCAGAAGAUUGACAAUUUCAAAUGCUGCAUAUAAUUUGUUAGUAUGUGAUACGGACCAAGAGUUCACUGUGAUGAGUUUUUCAGUUUUCUUUCCUGAUAUUGCAUUCUUGGAAGAAGGGUAGUGUAAAGUUGCUGCAUUCCCGAGUCAUUUGGUUUUGAAAAGGUUGUGUUGGUUGAUUGUUGGGGUGAAUUUGUGAGAGCUAAUUCCCUGUGCAGAGCGAAGAAUGUUGUAGAAAAUAGCAUGUUACACCAAUAUUUUUGUAACUGGAGUUGUGAAUGUGGAACUUGUUCUGAGAAAGUAACAUAAUAUUAUGUUAGAUUACAAUUGUGAUAUGCUGACUUUAGCUUAUACUGAUCAUAUUAAAUGUACAAUAUCUGUUUUCUUUUUUUAUUA